GCAGGUACAGUAGCUGCAGCAAGAGUAUAAAACAGGGCUGCAGAGGGCAGAGAGACACCACACUACUACUGAAGACCAGAAGACAUCUUCCAGAUAAACAGUCAUCAAUCAGACAGCAUCGUCCAACUGUAAGAGUAAAGGAUGAAGAUCCAGAGUAUGUUACUGCUGUUCGCUCUAGUGGGUGUCCUGUUAGCAAGCUCCCUCAAUGAAGAUAACUCUGAGGAAGCUCUCCUGCAGGAGGAUAAUCUAAAAGGUAGAAAGGCUGACUUUUUGGCAAAGUUGGCUGCUCUGAAGACCAUCGCCUCUGAAGAUGAAGCACCAUCUUUGAGCGAUCUUUGGAACAAAGUCAAGGAACUUGCGGGGUGAGAACCGACCAGAAUGGGGAUGCCGAGGAUCCAUCUCAGUCUCCAUAUCAAAUCAGCUAUCACCUCUGACAUCAUCACUAACAUUAACUCAAUGAAUCAUUCCAACAUCCAUCCAUCAAUCAUUGACUAACAUAAAAACAAAACAGUAAUACAGUUCUUGGGACUUUGGUACUGAGAAGAACUCAUCAGCAUUCUGAAGAAUAUAUGUUUUAUACAAAAACAUGAACUUUAAGUCCUGAUACAUGAUAGUGGAUAAAUAAUGAUGAUCAGAAUUUCUGGUGGCAAUGUUGUAUGGUUGAUGUGUCAUAUUGUGAUCCUCCAAUAAACUAUCAAGCAUUA
Molecule: long non-coding RNA, 704 nt
Organism: Oncorhynchus kisutch (coho salmon)
Lineage: Eukaryota; Metazoa; Chordata; Actinopteri; Salmoniformes; Salmonidae
Exons: 4
Source: RefSeq, a predicted model, not a curated record